AGAUUGAGUGCAUGGUUGCGGCUGAAAUUAUGCAGAGAUAUAAAAAGCUGCAAUUUGAAAGAGCUCAGUUUGCGAUGGCCGAAGUCUGCCGUCCCCUCCUCCUGGACGGGUUCUCAGGUCGCCGUCUGAAUGAGGCUUCACUGCUUCGGGGCUACCCUGGGUCUGGAGAGGGAUGGAACGCAGAACAAACCAGAGGAAGGUGUCAGAAGACUCCUAAUUUACUUUAGCUAAACGCAGGAAAUCUUUUCUGCAUGCGUUUUUUUUUUUUUU
Hipposideros armiger (great roundleaf bat) is the source of this 270-nucleotide long non-coding RNA. RefSeq lists it as uncharacterized. The transcript has 2 exons. The record is from RefSeq and is a predicted model, not a curated record. NCBI's taxonomy places the organism in Eukaryota, Metazoa, Chordata, Mammalia, Chiroptera, Hipposideridae.